CAGCCGCCGCGGUAAUACGUAGGUGGCAAGCGUUGUCCGGAAUUAUUGGGCGUAAAGGGCUCGCAGGCGGUUUCUUAAGUCUGAUGUGAAAGCCCCCGGCUCAACCGGGGAGGGUCAUUGGAAACUGGGAAACUUGAGUGCAGAAGAGGAGAGUGGAAUUCCACGUGUAGCGGUGGAAUGCGUAGAGAUGUGGAGGAACACCAGUGGCGAAGGCGACUCUCUGGUCUGUAACUGACGCUGAGGAGCGGAAGCGUGGGGAGCGAACAGGAUUAGAUACCCCAGUAGUCCCUGUCUCUUAUAC
RNAcentral lists this ribosomal RNA (301 nucleotides) under uncultured bacterium. RNAcentral's name for it is "partial 16S ribosomal RNA". It matches the Rfam family "Bacterial small subunit ribosomal RNA", at positions 509 to 807 of the family's 1533-position model. The record is from RNAcentral.